Molecule: small RNA, 88 nt
Filed under: Paenibacillus sp. P22
Lineage: Bacteria; Bacillati; Bacillota; Bacilli; Caryophanales; Paenibacillaceae
Source: RNAcentral
GACACGGAAGCCUCUUUGUGCUAUGAUGAUACAGGUUUUUUGGCGGAGACGCGGCCGGGAGCUCCAAGCUUCCGGCUGCGUCCAUUUG